GGCCCUAUCGUCUAACGGUUAGGACACAAGGUUCUCAAUCUUGUAACCGGAGUUCGAUUCUCCGUAGGGUCACAA
RNAcentral lists this transfer RNA (75 nucleotides) under Candidatus Wolfebacteria bacterium. RNAcentral's name for it is "tRNA-Glu". It matches the Rfam family "tRNA". From Rfam's summary of the family: Transfer RNA (tRNA) molecules are approximately 80 nucleotides in length. Their secondary structure includes four short double-helical elements and three loops (D, anti-codon, and T loops). Further hydrogen bonds mediate the characteristic L-shaped molecular structure. tRNAs have two regions of fundamental functional importance: the anti-codon, which is responsible for specific mRNA codon recognition, and the 3' end, to which the tRNAs corresponding amino acid is attached (by aminoacyl-tRNA synthetases). tRNAs cope with the degeneracy of the genetic code in two manners: having more than one tRNA (with a specific anti-codon) for a particular amino acid; and 'wobble' base-pairing, i.e. permitting non-standard base-pairing at the 3rd anti-codon position. Lineage: Bacteria; Candidatus Wolfeibacteriota. The record is from RNAcentral.